This 40-nucleotide transfer RNA is filed under the name Cuttsia viburnea. RNAcentral describes it as "partial tRNA-Phe". It matches the Rfam family "tRNA", at positions 1 to 39 of the family's 71-position model. Rfam says of the family: Transfer RNA (tRNA) molecules are approximately 80 nucleotides in length. Their secondary structure includes four short double-helical elements and three loops (D, anti-codon, and T loops). Lineage: Eukaryota; Viridiplantae; Streptophyta; Magnoliopsida; Asterales; Rousseaceae. The record is from RNAcentral.
GUCGGGGUAGCUCAGUUGGUAGAGCAGAGGACUGAAAAUC